GAUGAACGCUGGCGGCGUGCCUAAUACAUGCAAGUCGAGCGAACGGACGAGAAGCUUGCUUCUCUGAUGUUAGCGGCGGACGGGUGAGUAACACGUGGAUAACCUACCUAUAAGACUGGGAUAACUUCGGGAAACCGGAGCUAAUACCGGAUGAUAUUUUGAACCGCAUGGUUCAAAAGUGAAAGACGGUCUUGCUGUCACUUAUAGAUGGAUCCGCGCUGCAUUAGCUAGUUGGUAAGGUAACGGCUUACCAAGGCAACGAUGCAUAGCCGACCUGAGAGGGUGAUGGGCCACACUGGAACUGAGACACGGUCCAGACUCCUACGGGAGGCAGCAGUAGGGAAUCUUCCGCAAUGGGCGAAAGCCUGACGGAGCAACGCCGCGUGAGUGAUGAAGGUCUUCGGAUCGUAAAACUCUGUUAUUAGGGAAGAACAUAUGUGUAAGUAACUGUGCACAUCUUGACGGUACCUAAUCAGAAAGCCACGGCUAACUACGUG
This 497-nucleotide ribosomal RNA is filed under the name uncultured bacterium. RNAcentral's name for it is "partial 16S ribosomal RNA". It matches the Rfam family "Bacterial small subunit ribosomal RNA", at positions 28 to 507 of the family's 1533-position model. The record is from RNAcentral.